Molecule: small nucleolar RNA, 69 nt
Filed under: Leishmania major strain Friedlin
Lineage: Eukaryota; Euglenozoa; Kinetoplastea; Trypanosomatida; Trypanosomatidae
Description: Leishmania major h/ACA-like snoRNA
Rfam family: Trypanosomatid snoRNA TB11Cs4H2
Source: RNAcentral
GAACGGAGUGCAUUGAGUCCCACCGCUCCCCACCAGUACGCGCGUGGGAGCAUCAACUCUCCUAGAUGC